UUAAGUUCAGCGGGUAGUCUCACCCGAUUUGAGGUCAAGGUUUUCUUUUUGUGGGUCCAGCCUCCCGCCGACGUAGACGGCAGUGACCGGAGCACCAUCAUUGUCAAUGAGACGGUUAGCAGCAGGCAUCCAAGGGACAGUGCUAAACCCAAAACGUAGAAACAUUUUAUCACGUCAAGGAUCAGCAAAGCGGACCCCAC
RNAcentral lists this unclassified non-coding RNA (200 nucleotides) under Russula sp. RNAcentral's name for it is "partial internal transcribed spacer 2". The record is from RNAcentral. Lineage: Eukaryota; Fungi; Basidiomycota; Agaricomycetes; Russulales; Russulaceae.